Molecule: ribosomal RNA, 465 nt
Filed under: Vreelandella stevensii
Lineage: Bacteria; Pseudomonadati; Pseudomonadota; Gammaproteobacteria; Oceanospirillales; Halomonadaceae
Description: partial 16S ribosomal RNA
Rfam family: Bacterial small subunit ribosomal RNA
Source: RNAcentral
CCUACGGGGGGCUGCAGUGGGGAAUAUUGGACAAUGGGGGGAACCCUGAUCCAGCCAUGCCGCGUGUGUGAAGAAGGCCCUCGGGUUGUAAAGCACUUUCAGUGAGGAAGAACGCCUGGUGGUUAAUACCCAUCAGGAAAGACAUCACUCACAGAAGAAGCACCGGCUAACUCCGUGCCAGCAGCCGCGGUAAUACGGAGGGUGCGAGCGUUAAUCGGAAUUACUGGGCGUAAAGCGCGCGUAGGUGGCUUGAUAAGCCGGUUGUGAAAGCCCCGGGCUCAACCUGGGAACGGCAUCCGGAACUGUCACGCUAGAGUGCAGGAGAGGAAGGUAGAAUUCCCGGUGUAGCGGUGAAAUGCGUAGAGAUCGGGAGGAAUACCAGUGGCGAAGGCGGCCUUCUGGACUGACACUGACACUGAGGUGCGAAAGCGUGGGUAGCAAACAGGAUUAGAUACCCGAGUAGUC